CCGGAAGCUCCUCUGGGACCUCAGGAUUAUGGAUGUGCAGAUCCUGUUCUCACUGUCCCAGGUCUGACGUUGACAACCACACCCUCUCCCCAGGAAGUUGCAGGCAGCUCCAGAGUCAACCACUGAUGAAAUGACACUUAAGACACCAUUGGGAAGACACACACAGUCAGAAAGGAGAGGCUACUCACUGCUUCAGCAUGUAAGGACCCAUCAGCAGUGGAAACUUCAGUCUUCCAUCUAUUGGGACAAUCAUGAAAUUACAUCUACAGCAUUUAGCUGUAGAGUAAUUGACGGUCUUGCUUAGGGGCCCAAA
Long non-coding RNA from Electrophorus electricus (electric eel), 313 nucleotides. RefSeq lists it as uncharacterized. NCBI's taxonomy places the organism in Eukaryota, Metazoa, Chordata, Actinopteri, Gymnotiformes, Gymnotidae. The record is from RefSeq and is a predicted model, not a curated record.